Molecule: antisense RNA, 195 nt
Filed under: Yersinia enterocolitica LC20
Lineage: Bacteria; Pseudomonadati; Pseudomonadota; Gammaproteobacteria; Enterobacterales; Yersiniaceae
Description: Yersinia sRNA 276
Rfam family: Yersinia sRNA 276
Source: Rfam by way of RNAcentral
CACUGACAUUAAUGAUUCAUUCUGCGAACCAUGGCCAACAGCCAGAUAAGAGUGCAUGCCCAACUCUUUCAUUUGCUGUUCACCAAUCACGCGAGUGAUGAUGUUGGUGCUAAAUGCAUCGGCCAACUGGCGCGCUUGAGACGCCAGAUAGGCGGCAUUACAAAUAUUCGGCGGCAUGUUACCCAAAUCUUUCGC